UGAGGAAUCUUGCGCAAUGGGGGAAACCCUGACGCAGCAACGCCGCGUGAGUGAGGAAGGUUUUCGAAUCGUAAAGCUCUGUCAGGUGGAAAGAAAUGUAUGGAUGUGAAUAGCGUUCAUACUUGACGGUACCACCAGAGGAAGCACCGGCUAACUCCGUGCCAGCAGCCGCGGUAAUACGGGGGGUGCAAGCGUUGUUCGGAAUCAUUGGGCGUAAAGAGCGUGUAGGCGGCUCGAUAAGUCAGAUGUGAAAGCCCUGGGCUCAACCCAGGAAGUGCAUUUGAUACUGUCUUGCUUGAGUAGGGGAGAGGAAAGCGGAAUUCCUGGUGUAGAGGUGAAAUUCGUAGAUAUCAGGAGGAAAAGCGGUGGCGAAGGCGGCUUUCUGGCCCUAUACUGACGCUGAGACGCGAGAGCGCGGGUAGCAAAGA
This 428-nucleotide ribosomal RNA is filed under the name uncultured prokaryote. RNAcentral describes it as "bacterial SSU rRNA". It matches the Rfam family "Bacterial small subunit ribosomal RNA", at positions 355 to 774 of the family's 1533-position model. The record is from RNAcentral.